UACGUAGGGUGCAAGCGUUGUCCGGAAUUAUUGGGCGUAAAGAGCUCGUAGGCGGUUUGUCGCGUCUGCUGUGAAAACUCGGGGCUUAACCCCGGGCCUGCAGUGGGUACGGGCAGACUAGAGUGCGGUAGGGGAGACUGGAAUUCCUGGUGUAGCGGUGAAAUGCGCAGAUAUCAGGAGGAACACCGGUGGCGAAGGCGGUUCUCUGGGCAUUACCUGACGCUGAGGAGCGAAAGCGUGGGGAGCAAACAGG
RNAcentral lists this ribosomal RNA (253 nucleotides) under uncultured bacterium. Its description in RNAcentral is "partial 16S ribosomal RNA". It matches the Rfam family "Bacterial small subunit ribosomal RNA", at positions 524 to 776 of the family's 1533-position model. The record is from RNAcentral.